Molecule: long non-coding RNA, 2199 nt
Organism: Haemorhous mexicanus (house finch)
Lineage: Eukaryota; Metazoa; Chordata; Aves; Passeriformes; Fringillidae
Exons: 2
Source: RefSeq, a predicted model, not a curated record
GUCAGCGACCCACCCCACUUGCCGGUGGGGCAAAUGCCCGGAUGCCCACGAAGAAUGCCCGGGAAACGGGGCUGUGGAAGGAGCCUUAGCACAUAAAAGUAGCUAACUGUGACAAAAUGGCGAGUCCUUUUGCUUUGGGUUUCUUGGGGGCAUCAGGGGCUCGCUGGGAGAGUCACCUUGGUCCUUCUUCCUCCCCACCCCUCACUUUUUCCUCUCUGUGGUCCUGCUUCUCUGCCCCUACCUGCUUUGCUCUGCUUCACUGCUUCCGCGAACCAGCUCAUUUCCGCGACGACCUUGUGCUCCGCCGCCUCCGCGACGGAGUGGGCGCCGCCGCAGCCAGCUGCCUCCACCGCGUUUCCCAGGCGCAGCUGCAGCCGCCUGCACCCAGCCGCGAAGUUUCUGCGCUGCCCGCCCCACCAACCCGCCAUAGCACUCAGGCUGUAGCCACCAGCCUGGCGUCACCGCCUGCACCCAGACAAGCCUGCAGCUGCCGGCUGCAGCCACCACGAGCCCGCAGCCGCCGCCGCCAGCCGCUCACAAGAGCCGCGCAGGGCGGCUGGCAGCCGCCGCCGCCGGGGACACGCUGCUGCCGCCGCCGACUGAAGAUUGCGCCCAAGCUCUGACAAAAGCCGCGGGGUCUCGCCGCGCCUUGCGACACGCACGCUCCGCCUGCUGAGCUGGCGCUGACAGAGCACCGGUGGUAACGCCUGUGACAGAACACUGCCCCAUAAACUCUGGGAAAAGCUGUUCCACAUAUCCUAUUGAAAGCCCAGCUCACCUGACAGCAGCCACUGCACUGCUGAACACUCACCAGCUUCCUCAGAUCAGGACUCAGUGCCCAUAACUUUAUGGACAGCCCAUAACUUUAUGGACAGCUGAUGAGAGAGGUCAGGAUCAUGACACCAAACCAGCCUGCUGCCCACAGCUCCUGGAAUCCCAGAGAACUUUAUUCCUUUCCCCAGGAUACAAAUAACUUGGGAAGAUUUCUCUUGCUAACAUUGCUUUCAAGGCUUGGAGAAACAAUUUCCAGUAUCACUGCUCCAGCCAGAAACUGCUCACCACUCAGCCCCAAAGGUGCCCAUGGCUGAGCCGCUGUGGCAUGGUUACCUCUUUCCUCUCCACAUCAGCCUGGAUCUUGGCCUGUGUGACAGCAGCCUCACGGAAGGAGGAGCUGGCCUGCUUGGCCUGCUCAAUCAGAGUCUUCAGCUGCUGUGCUGUGCUGAGCAGGGAAUUGACCAUCUCCUCCAGGUAGAGCCAGCUCCGCUGCUCCGUCACCUCCAGCCCGUUCACCACCGAUGGCGACAUGGCUUUGGUGGGCGUCGGGGGAGGCACUGCCAGGGCAGGCAGAGACGUCAACACUGGACAUAAGGAACAAAAGAGAAUAUGCAGACAAUUAGGGUGUUUCAUUUCUGUGAAGUGGUGGUGGUUGUGGGGUGUUGGUUUUUGUGGUUUUUCUGUGGUGUUUGGUUUCUUUUUUAAAAUAUGGUUUGCAGAAUUUCCAGCCCAGGAAAGUGUUAAACAUUAAACUUCUUAAUUAAAGUUUUAAACUUCUGCAACAUCAAGUGCACAUCUGUGCAGAACAAGCCCAUGGGCACUCUCAAAUCCAUGGGACAAGAACACCUCCUCUUGACCUGGAUGACCCUGGGAAGAGUUUAACACCUCCCAGCACUGCUGUGGAGAAGCACCAUGAUGCAGUGAAAGCAGCAUUCCCAGGAACUCCUUCACCACUGCCAACACUUCCCUCAGCCAGGCUAGGUAAGGUCAGAGUAAGUCACUCAGAGACAUUCUGAUGGCCCCGCCCAGAUGUCAAUUCUCAGGUUGCAAACCACAAAACUCAAGUACUGAUCCACAUCACACUCUCUGUGCUUCCUGAAUUCUGACCAUUACCUAACCCUGACCAGACACUGGACUUAACCCCAGACAGUCACCAUUACCUCCAAGUGAAUGUAUUCCAAACAUGGACUUCCCAAAACCAUGGGUUGGGAAGCCCUUUAAUAACCCAGCAGUUACUGUGUCACUGGACCAGCUACUUUUCACGUUAGGUUUGCAUGUACAUUGGGAGAUCAGGGUAUGACAAAAUUAAAUCCAGACCCAGGAACUCUACCAUACACAGUGUCAGCUCAGCUUAGGUAACAUUCCAGGAAGAAAUGUUAUCUGGCUUUACUUUUCCAAAAUGUAAUUCUAGCAAUAAAUACUCAC